GUCGAGGGGUAUGCGUCUUCGGAUGUUGAGACCGGCGCACGGGUGCGUAACGCGUAUGCAAUCUGCCUUUCACAGAGGGAUAGCCCAGAGAAAUUUGGAUUAAUACCUCAUAGCAUCAUGACCCGGCAUCGGGAUAUGAUUAAAGUCACAACGGUGAAAGAUGAGCAUGCGUCCCAUUAGCUAGUUGGUAAGGUAACGGCUUACCAAGGCUACGAUGGGUAGGGGUCCUGAGAGGGAGAUCCCCCACACUGGUACUGAGACACGGACCAGACUCCUACGGGAGGCAGCAGUGAGGAAUAUUGGUCAAUGGGCGCAAGCCUGAACCAGCCAUGCCGCGUGCAGGAUGACGGUCCUAUGGAUUGUAAACUGCUUUUGUACGGGAAGAAACACUCCUACGUGUAGGAGCUUGACGGUACCGUAAGAAUAAGGAUCGGCUAACUCCGUGCCAGCAGCCGCGGUAAUACGGAGGAUCCAAGCGUUAUCCGGAAUCAUUGGGUUUAAAGGGUCCGUAGGCGGUCCUGUAAGUCAGUGGUGAAAGCCCAUCGCUCAACGAUGGAACGGCCAUUGAUACUGCAGGACUUGAAUUACCAGGAAGCAACUAGAAUAUGUAGUGUAGCGGUGAAAUGCUUAGAGAUUACAUGGAAUACCAAUUGCGAAGGCAGGUUGCUACUGGUUGAUUGACGCUGAUGGACGAAAGCGUGGGUAGCGAACAGGAUAGAUACCCUGGUAGUCCACGCCGUAAACGAUGGAUACUAGCUGUUGGGGGCACUUCAGUGGCUAAGCGAAAGUGAUAAGUAUCCCACUGGGGAGUACGGACGCAGUUG
Molecule: ribosomal RNA, 824 nt
Filed under: Flavobacterium johnsoniae
Lineage: Bacteria; Pseudomonadati; Bacteroidota; Flavobacteriia; Flavobacteriales; Flavobacteriaceae
Description: bacterial SSU rRNA
Rfam family: Bacterial small subunit ribosomal RNA
Source: RNAcentral